This 1485-nucleotide ribosomal RNA is filed under the name uncultured organism. RNAcentral describes it as "SSU rRNA". It matches the Rfam family "Bacterial small subunit ribosomal RNA". The record is from RNAcentral.
ACGCUGGCGGCGUGCCUAAUACAUGCAAGUCGAGCGAGCGGAACUAACAGAUUUACUUCGGUAAUGACGUUAGGAAAGCGAGCGGCGGAUGGGUGAGUAACACGUGGGGAACCUGCCCCAUAGUCUGGGAUACCACUUGGAAACAGGUGCUAAUACCGGAUAAGAAAGCAGAUCGCAUGAUCAGCUUUUAAAAGGCGGCGUAAGCUGUCGCUAUGGGAUGGCCCCGCGGUGCAUUAGCUAGUUGGUAAGGUAAAGGCUUACCAAGGCGAUGAUGCAUAGCCGAGUUGAGAGACUGAUCGGCCACAUUGGGACUGAGACACGGCCCAAACUCCUACGGGAGGCAGCAGUAGGGAAUCUUCCACAAUGGACGCAAGUCUGAUGGAGCAACGCCGCGUGAGUGAAGAAGGUUUUCGGAUCGUAAAGCUCUGUUGUUGGUGAAGAAGGAUAGAGGUAGUAACUGGCCUUUAUUUGACGGUAAUCAACCAGAAAGUCACGGCUAACUACGUGCCAGCAGCCGCGGUAAUACGUAGGUGGCAAGCGUUGUCCGGAUUUAUUGGGCGUAAAGCGAGCGCAGGCGGAAGAAUAAGUCUGAUGUGAAAGCCCUCGGCUUAACCGAGGAACUGCAUCGGAAACUGUUUUUCUUGAGUGCAGAAGAGGAGAGUGGAACUCCAUGUGUAGCGGUGGAAUGCGUAGAUAUAUGGAAGAACACCAGUGGCGAAGGCGGCUCUCUGGUCUGCAACUGACGCUGAGGCUCGAAAGCAUGGGUAGCGAACAGGAUUAGAUACCCUGGUAGUCCAUGCCGUAAACGAUGAGUGCUAAGUGUUGGGAGGUUUCCGCCUCUCAGUGCUGCAGCUAACGCAUUAAGCACUCCGCCUGGGGAGUACGACCGCAAGGUUGAAACUCAAAGGAAUUGACGGGGGGCCCGCACAAGCGGUGGAGCAUGUGGUUUAAUUCGAAGCAACGCGAAGAACCUUACCAGGUCUUGACAUCUAGUGUCAUUUGUAGAGAUACAAAGUUCCCUCCGGGGACGCUAAGACAGGUGGUGCAUGGCUGUCGUCAGCUCGUGUCGUGAGAUGUUGGGUUAAGUCCCGCAACGAGCGCAACCCUUGUUAUUAGUUGCCAGCAUUAAGUUGGGCACUCUAAUGAGACUGCCGGUGACAAGCCGGAGGAAGGUGGGGAUGACGUCAAGUCAUCAUGCCCCUUAUGACCUGGGCUACACACGUGCUACAAUGGGCAGUACAACGAGAAGCGAGCCUGCGAAGGCAAGCGAAUCUCUGAAAGCUGUUCUCAGUUCGGACUGCAGUCUGCAACUCGACUGCACGAAGCUGGAAUCGCUAGUAAUCGCGGAUCAGCACGCCGCGGUGAAUACGUUCCCGGGCCUUGUACACACCGCCCGUCACACCAUGGGAGUCUGCAAUGCCCAAAGCCGGUGGCCUAACCUUCGGGAAGGAGCCGUCUAAGGCAGGGCAGAUGACUGGGGUGAAG